AAAGUCGUAACAAGGUCUCCGUAGGUGAACCUGCGGAGGGAUCAUCAAAGAAUUUAACGUAAAAAAAACCACAAGUGCUUUGAGGAGAGGGGGAAAAAGGGAUUUCGCGGUUUCUUUUUCUUUCUUUCCUUGAUCACUUCAAACAAACGAUCGCAACUAAAAUAUGUGUCUUUCACGAGGGGAAAAUGUAUAACAAGUGUUUGCCUGAUAAAAACAUUGGAUUGGAAAAAAAAGAGAAAUAUACAACUUUCAACAACGGAUCUCUUGGCUCUC
RNAcentral lists this unclassified non-coding RNA (273 nucleotides) under Ascomycota sp. RNAcentral's name for it is "partial contains small subunit ribosomal RNA, internal transcribed spacer 1, and 5.8S ribosomal RNA". The stretch from base 1 to 47 matches the Rfam family "Eukaryotic small subunit ribosomal RNA", at positions 1785 to 1831 of the family's 1831-position model. Lineage: Eukaryota; Fungi; Ascomycota. The record is from RNAcentral.